AAUGUUUUUUUUUCCUAUCCAGUGUUUGGGAUUUCAUGACUUCUGGAUGGUCAAGAAGAUUUAAAAACAUUUUCUGCAAAUGACAGCUUUGAAGCAUUGAGAUGGGAGAAGGAUUUCAGAGAAAGGAGAAAGGAAGAAAAGAGAGUCAGCAUGCCUUACAAAAUUAUUAAACAUGGAAAAGAAAGUAUCUGGUACAGCAAAAUCCAUCAAAUAAGCACACCCAGGUCACAAAAGUGUGGAGGGGCUCAUUCUCCUGCAAUUCAGGAGUGAGGGAAAAGUAUCAGGUAAAGAAAAUACAGAUGCUACUGGCUGGAGCCUGAUCAAGAGGAAGAAAACUCAUGCUCCCAACUCAGUUCACACAUUCACUACCUGUGUAGCUCUGGACCAGUCUUUGAACAGCUCUGACUCGAAUGCAACGCUUAUAGCUUUCUUCAAAGAUAAUCAGACUCGUAUUAUUUUUCUACUUCACUUCAGCCCAGACUUGAUCUUGCAAGAAUCGAGUGAUGAAGGGCUACUUAAUUGAAUAGACACUUCUCAUUUAAAAGAUGAAGGGGGUAAGAAAAAAAAACAACCACAUCUUCUCACUCCUUCCAUUCACAUUAUUCAUGGAGCCUUGGAUGCCCCUUGAAGGUGCUCUGUGGGCUACUUGGUGAUAUCUGUAAUUCAAGGGAUCCAUUCCCUCCAAGGAGUGACCAUUAACAUGGAUCCAUUCAUACUCAUUGAUGUGCAAGUAAAGAAUAUCUCAGGUAAUAGCGAGGACCCAGAGGUGGUAGAAAUCUGGGAUGAGACUGAUAAAAUCACUGAUUGUAUGACCCUACAACAUGAGCUUUCACUCAACUCUUUUGAAUGAGGGACUCUGGUAAUACCAAUUGCUUAUUAUAGCUUUAGUCUCCAGAAGCAACAAAUGUAGGUUAGUAGUAAUGUAUUUUUAAAUAAUUUACAAAUGUACUUUAUGAAGGAGUAAAAUGGAAGGUAAAAAUAUUCCUAGUAAUAAAACACAGAGAAAAAUUCUUUUCCAUUUUAUUAUCAUCAACAUAGCAGCUAUUAUGUACAAAAUGAACAAAUACAGACCUUGCACUUUGCAAGCCUGAUUUCACUUCACAAGUAUUACGCCCAGG
Molecule: long non-coding RNA, 1118 nt
Filed under: Aotus nancymaae (Ma's night monkey)
Lineage: Eukaryota; Metazoa; Chordata; Mammalia; Primates; Aotidae
Description: lncRNA (ENSANAG00000039309.1)
Source: RNAcentral